Molecule: long non-coding RNA, 475 nt
Organism: Bombina bombina (fire-bellied toad)
Lineage: Eukaryota; Metazoa; Chordata; Amphibia; Anura; Bombinatoridae
Exons: 3
Source: RefSeq, a predicted model, not a curated record
GAGAAAGUGGCUGGAGGGGAGAUGGAGAGAGGUUCACUGGCGGAGAUGGACAGCACACAGGAACAGGAGACUCCUUGUCAAGAACAGAGGAAGAAGAUAGAAGAUGCCGCCUGGAUGAAGACGUCUGCUGGUCUGGAUGUCCUCUUCUGCCCAGAUCGGAUGAAGACUUCUGCCGGUCUGGAGGUCCACUUGUGCCCGGCUGGGUGAAGACGGCUCAAGCAUUCACACUGGAUUUUUCGUCUGUGCUAAGCAGUCUCAUCCUCUCCUGCUUAGCCUGUCAGCCUCAUUAGCUCUGAGCUGAAUUCACCUGUGCCAUUACUGGAACACAGUCUGCAGCUACACACUUACCUGAGAAACUUCCAAACAUCAGAGCCUGUGGAAACCGCAAGUAUAACAGUAUUUACCUCAAAGUUGCUACUUUGAAUACCUGCUUUAGUGCAACCUUAAUAUCAUUUAUCUUGGACUGUGUGUAAAU